CCCUUAGAUGUUCUGGGCCGCACACGCGCUACACUGAAGGAGGCAGCGUGUACUCCUGGAUCGAAAGAUUUGGGUAACCCGCGAAUCUCCUUCGUGCUAGGGAUUGAGGUUUGCAAUUAUCCUUCAUGAACGAGGAAUUCCCAGUAAGUGCAAGUCAUAAGCUUGCGCUGACUACGUCCCUGCCCUUUGUACACACCGCCCGUCGCUACUACCGAUUGAAUGGUCCGGUGAAGCGUUCGGACCGUGGCCUUUGGACGGUUCGCCGUCUGUUGGCUGCGGGAAGUUCGUUAAACCUUAUCAUUUAGAGGAAGGAGAANUCGUAACA
This 325-nucleotide ribosomal RNA is filed under the name uncultured eukaryote. RNAcentral describes it as "partial 18S ribosomal RNA". It matches the Rfam family "Eukaryotic small subunit ribosomal RNA", at positions 1470 to 1796 of the family's 1831-position model. The record is from RNAcentral.